Molecule: long non-coding RNA, 219 nt
Organism: Tupaia belangeri chinensis (Chinese tree shrew)
Lineage: Eukaryota; Metazoa; Chordata; Mammalia; Scandentia; Tupaiidae
Exons: 3
Source: RefSeq, a predicted model, not a curated record
CCAGCGACUGGCUUUACCGAGAGUCCCGCCUCUCGACCAAGACUAUUGGUGGCUGGUCGGCUUGCCUCUCGAGCUAUUGGCUGUUGCCCAGGGCACCUGGGAGUCACGCCCACACACACGAGCAGGUGACUGAUGGUGGGAUGCCCUCCUGUCCCCGGCGCAGAGAUGGCGUGAUGCAUGGCCAAAGAGAGACAAGAGAAGAAAGUGGGAAAACAAGCC